UGCGCUUGCAGAUCCCAUUCAUUAUUUAUGUAGAAGAGCAAUUGCAUAUUUCAAUACCGCGUCUCUUAUAUCAUGCUGGGGAUGACAACUUGGCUUAAGUGGUGUGAGGGAUAGGUUUGGCAUUUUUUGGCACCGAUACUAGAUUUAGAGAACUUAGUCUACUUUUGGUAAUGAUGUUAAGAAUACCCAACAACUAGCAAAAGAGUAAGUGGUCUAGCAAUAAAUGAAAAAUCUUUUAUGAAUCUACGAUAAAAACC
Molecule: long non-coding RNA, 257 nt
Filed under: Sorghum bicolor (sorghum)
Lineage: Eukaryota; Viridiplantae; Streptophyta; Magnoliopsida; Poales; Poaceae
Description: long non-coding RNA (SBIC_LNC011855)
Source: RNAcentral